RNAcentral lists this ribosomal RNA (402 nucleotides) under Verrucomicrobiota bacterium. RNAcentral describes it as "Verrucomicrobia bacterium partial 16S ribosomal RNA". It matches the Rfam family "Bacterial small subunit ribosomal RNA", at positions 355 to 776 of the family's 1533-position model. The record is from RNAcentral. Lineage: Bacteria; Pseudomonadati; Verrucomicrobiota.
UGGGGAAUUUUGCACAAUGGGGGAAACCCUGAUGCAGCGACGCCGCGUGAUUUAGAAGGCCUUCGGGUUGUAAAAAUCUUUUCUAUGGGAAGAAAAUGACAGUACCAUAGGAAUAAGGACCGGCUAAUUACGUGCCAGCAGCCGCGGUAAUACGUAAGGUCCGAGCGUUGUCCGGAAUCAUUGGGCGUAAAGGGUACGUAGGCGGUCUAUUAAGUCAGGUGUGAAAGCGUGAGGCUUAACCUCAUUAAGCACUUGAAACUGAUAGACUUGAGUGAAGGAGAGGAAAGUGGAAUUCCUAGUGUAGCGGUGAAAUGCGUAGAUAUUAGGAGGAAUACCGGUGGCGAAGGCGACUUUCUGGACUUUUACUGACGCUCAGGUACGAAAGCGUGGGGAGCAAACAGG